GCAGUGAUGAAUUUGUUUGCAUUGAUCUUCUGACAUGAUAAUGCAUUUUGUCCUCUAAGAAGUUCUGAGCGU
Small nucleolar RNA from Octodon degus (degu), 72 nucleotides. RefSeq annotates it as small nucleolar RNA SNORD61. Lineage: Eukaryota; Metazoa; Chordata; Mammalia; Rodentia; Octodontidae. The transcript has a single exon. The record is from RefSeq and is a predicted model, not a curated record.